Molecule: ribosomal RNA, 275 nt
Filed under: uncultured bacterium
Lineage: Bacteria
Description: partial 16S ribosomal RNA
Rfam family: Bacterial small subunit ribosomal RNA
Source: RNAcentral
AAUCAACGCUGGCGGCGUGCCUCAGACAUGCAAGUCGAACGCGAAAGUUCCCUUCGGGGGCGAGUAGAGUGGCGCACGGGUGAGUAACACGUAGGUAAUCUACCUUUGGGUGGGGAAGUAACAGCCGGAACGGACUGCUAAUACCGCAUAAUGCAGCGGCUCGACAUCGAGACAGUUGUUAAAGCGGGGGAUCGCAAGACCUCGCGCCUAAAGAGGAGCCUGCGGCGGAUUAGCUUGUUGGUGAGGUAAUGGCUCACCAAGGCAUCGAUCCGUAG